RNAcentral lists this ribosomal RNA (443 nucleotides) under uncultured bacterium. RNAcentral describes it as "partial 16S ribosomal RNA". It matches the Rfam family "Bacterial small subunit ribosomal RNA", at positions 338 to 795 of the family's 1533-position model. The record is from RNAcentral.
CCUACGGGGGGCAGCAGUGGGGAAUAUUGGGCAAUGGGCGCAAGCCUGACCCAGCAACGCCGCGUGAAGGAAGAAGGCUUUCGGGUUGUAAACUUCUUUUCUCAGGGACGAAGCAAGUGACGGUACCUGAGGAAUAAGCCACGGCUAACUACGUGCCAGCAGCCGCGGUAAUACGUAGGUGGCAAGCGUUAUCCGGAUUUACUGGGUGUAAAGGGCGUGUAGGCGGGAAAGCAAGUCAGAGGUGAAAACCACGGGCUCAACCUGUGGCCUGCAUUUGAAACUGGUUUGCUUGAGUACUGGAGAGGCAGACAGAAUUCCUAGUGUAGCGGUGAAAUGCGUAGAGAUUAGGAGGAACACCAGUGGCGAAGGCGGUCUGCUGGACAGCAACUGACGCUGAGGCGCGAAAGCGUGGGGAGCAAACAGGAUUAGAUACCCUUGUAGUC